This 459-nucleotide ribosomal RNA is filed under the name uncultured bacterium. RNAcentral's name for it is "partial 16S ribosomal RNA". It matches the Rfam family "Bacterial small subunit ribosomal RNA", at positions 338 to 795 of the family's 1533-position model. The record is from RNAcentral.
CCUACGGGAGGCAGCAGUGAGGAAUAUUGGUCAAUGGACGAGAGUCUGAACCAGCCAAGUAGCGUGAAGGAUGACUGCCCUAUGGGUUGUAAACUUCUUUUAUAUGGGAAUAAAACGUUCCACGUGUGGGAUUUUGUAUGUACCAUAUGAAUAAGGAUCGGCUAACUCCGUGCCAGCAGCCGCGGUAAUACGGAGGAUGCGAGCGUUAUCCGGAUUUAUUGGGUUAAAGGGGUGCGUAGGCGGAUCGUUAAGUCAGGGGGAAAAUUGAGGGCCUAAACCCCUUACCGCCAUUGAAACUGGGGAUCUUGAGUGGAAGAGAAGUAUGCGGAAUGCGUGGUGUAGCGGUGAAAUGCAUAGAUAUCACGAAGAACACCGAUUGCGAAGGCAGCAUGCCGGAUUCCGACUGACGCUGAAGCAUGAAAGCGUGGGGAUCGAACAGGAUUAGAUACCCCUGUAGUC